ACUCCUACGGGAGGCAGCAGUGGGGAAUUUUGGACAAUGGGGGCAACCCUGAUCAGCCAUGCCGCGUGAGUGAAGAAGGCCUUCGGGUUGUAAAGCUCUUUCGGCCGGGAAGAAAUCGUGUUCUCUAACAUAGGACAUGGAUGACGGUACCGGACUAAGAAGCACCGGCUAACUACGUGCCAGCAGCCGCGGUAAUACGUAGGGUGCGAGCGUUAAUCGGAAUUACUGGGCGUAAAGCGUGCGCAGGCGGUUUUGUAAGACAGAUGUGAAAUCCCCGGGCUUAACCUGGGAACUGCGUUUGUGACUGCAAGGCUAGAGUACGGCAGAGGGGGGUGGAAUUCCUGGUGUAGCAGUGAAAUGCGUAGAUAUCAGGAGGAACACCGAUGGCGAAGGCAGCCCCCUGGGCCUGUACUGACGCUCAUGCACGAAAGCGUGGGGAGCAAACAGGAUUAGAUACCCUGGUAGUC
This 467-nucleotide ribosomal RNA is filed under the name uncultured bacterium. RNAcentral describes it as "bacterial SSU rRNA". It matches the Rfam family "Bacterial small subunit ribosomal RNA", at positions 335 to 795 of the family's 1533-position model. The record is from RNAcentral.